RNAcentral lists this transfer RNA (76 nucleotides) under Pseudomonadota bacterium. RNAcentral's name for it is "tRNA-Met". It matches the Rfam family "tRNA". Rfam says of the family: Transfer RNA (tRNA) molecules are approximately 80 nucleotides in length. The record is from RNAcentral. Lineage: Bacteria; Pseudomonadati; Pseudomonadota. RNAcentral also lists the same sequence under 5 other names.
CGCGGGGUGGAGCAACAGGAAGCUCGUCGGGCUCAUAACCCGGAGGUUGCUGGUUCGAAUCCAGCCCCCGCAACCA